RNAcentral lists this ribosomal RNA (482 nucleotides) under Alteromonas sp. RKVR09. RNAcentral's name for it is "bacterial SSU rRNA". It matches the Rfam family "Bacterial small subunit ribosomal RNA", at positions 1 to 479 of the family's 1533-position model. Lineage: Bacteria; Pseudomonadati; Pseudomonadota; Gammaproteobacteria; Alteromonadales; Alteromonadaceae. The record is from RNAcentral.
CCUCCUUUAGAGUUUGGAUCCUGGCUCAGAUUGAACGCUGGCGGCAGGCCUAACACAUGCAAGUCGAACGGUAACAGGAUGUGCUUGCACAUCGCUGACGAGUGGCGGACGGGUGAGUAAUGCUUGGGAACUUGCCUUUGCGAGGGGGAUAACAGUUGGAAACGACUGCUAAUACCGCAUAAUGUCUUCGGACCAAACGGGGCUUCGGCUCCGGCGCAAAGAGAGGCCCAAGUGAGAUUAGCUAGUUGGUAAGGUAAAGGCUUACCAAGGCGACGAUCUCUAGCUGUUCUGAGAGGAAGAUCAGCCACACUGGGACUGAGACACGGCCCAGACUCCUACGGGAGGCAGCAGUGGGGAAUAUUGCACAAUGGGGGAAACCCUGAUGCAGCCAUGCCGCGUGUGUGAAGAAGGCCUUCGGGUUGUAAAGCACUUUCAGUUGUGAGGAAAAGUUAGUAGUUAAUACCUGCUAGCCGUGACGUAAC